Molecule: ribosomal RNA, 497 nt
Filed under: uncultured bacterium
Lineage: Bacteria
Description: partial 16S ribosomal RNA
Rfam family: Bacterial small subunit ribosomal RNA
Source: RNAcentral
GAUGAACGCUGGCGGCGUGCCUAAUACAUGCAAGUCGAGCGAACAGAUAAGGAGCUUGCUCCUUUGACGUUAGCGGCGGACGGGUGAGUAACACGUGGGUAACCUACCUAUAAGACUGGGAUAACUUCGGGAAACCGGAGCUAAUACCGGAUAACAUUUGGAACCGCAUGGUUCUAAAGUGAAAGAUGGUUUUGCUAUCACUUAUAGAUGGACCCGCGCCGUAUUAGCUAGUUGGUAAGGUAACGGCUUACCAAGGCGACGAUACGUAGCCGACCUGAGAGGGUGAUCAGCCACACUGGAACUGAGACACGGUCCAGACUCCUACGGGAGGCAGCAGUAGGGAAUCUUCCGCAAUGGGCGAAAGCCUGACGGAGCAACGCCGCGUGAGUGAUGAAGGGUUUCGGCUCGUAAAACUCUGUUAUUAGGGAAGAACAAAUGUGUAAGUAACUGUGCACGUCUUGACGGUACCUAAUCAGAAAGCCACGGCUAACUACGUG